CUUGGUCAUGUGGGAGGAUGGUUUGUGCCAAUGUACGGAGCGGGUCGCCUCGAGAGCAAAAACGUGGGCGAGUAUGAAAUCGCUGCAAGGCUGGCUCUGCAAGCCGGCUUUCCUCACUUUGUUGACGAGCUCUUGCAUAUGGCCGAGGUCGAGUGGGAUCACGAGGCCUACUUUUGGGCCAAGUGUGAAGCGCAUUGGCUAGUGCGUGUGUUUCCUCGUUGGCGUCGUCCAGGAGCGCGAGAUUCUAUUCGU
Molecule: unclassified non-coding RNA, 252 nt
Filed under: fungal sp.
Lineage: Eukaryota; Fungi
Description: partial internal transcribed spacer region
Source: RNAcentral